RNAcentral lists this ribosomal RNA (253 nucleotides) under uncultured bacterium. RNAcentral's name for it is "partial 16S ribosomal RNA". It matches the Rfam family "Bacterial small subunit ribosomal RNA", at positions 524 to 776 of the family's 1533-position model. The record is from RNAcentral.
UACGUAGGGCGCAAGCGUUAUCCGGAAUUAUUGGGCGUAAAGAGCUCGUAGGCGGUUUGUCGCGUCUGCCGCGAAAGUCCGGGGCUCAACUCCGGAUCUGCGGUGGGUACGGGCAGACUAGAGUGAUGUAGGGGAGACUGGAAUUCCUGGUGUAGCGGUGAAGUGCGCAGAUAUCAGGAGGAACACCGAUGGCGAAGGCAGGUCUCUGGGCAUUAACUGACGCUGAGGAGCGAAAGCAUGGGGAGCGAACAGG